UGUCCCAGCCGCCGCGGUAAUACAGAGGGCGCGAGCGUUAAUCGGAUUUACUGGGCGUAAAGCGCGCGUAGGUGGCUAAUUAAGUCAAAUGUGAAAUCCCCGAGCUUAACUUGGGAAUUGCAUUCGAUACUGGUUGGCUAGAGUAUGGGAGAGGAUGGUAGAAUUCCAGGUGUAGCGGUGAAAUGCGUAGAGAUCUGGAGGAAUACCGAUGGCGAAGGCAGCCAUCUGGCCUAAUACUGACACUGAGGUGCGAAAGCAUGGGGAGCAAACAGGAUUAGAUACCCUGGUAGUCCAUGCCGUAAACGAUGUCUACUAGCCGUUGGGGUCCUUGAGACUUUAGUGGCGCAGUUAACGCGAUAAGUAGACCGCCUGGGGAGUACGGCCGCAAGGUUAAAACUCAAAUGAAUUGACGGGGGCCCGCACAAGCGGUGGAGCAUGUGGUUUAAUUCGAUGCAACGCGAAGAACCUUACCUGGUCUUGACAUAGUGAGAAUCUUUCAGAGAUGAGAGAGUGCCUUCGGGAAUUCACAUACAGGUGCUGCAUGGCUGUCGUCAGCUCGUGUCGUGAGAUGUUGGGUUAAGUCCCGCACGAGCGCACCCUUUUCCUUAUUUCCA
Molecule: ribosomal RNA, 614 nt
Filed under: uncultured bacterium
Lineage: Bacteria
Description: bacterial SSU rRNA
Rfam family: Bacterial small subunit ribosomal RNA
Source: RNAcentral